GAUAACAAUUUUUUUACUUUGCCCAACAGUCACCUUUUUGGCUUCAGCAAUAAUCUACUUUGUGAUUUUGGCUUCAUGCUACCGCCGUUUAUAUUUGUAAAAGUUUAGUGGAACUCUAUUUCCAUUUACACUAAAUGCAUUUUACGGUUCUUCCCAUGGAAAUUGGGUUAUUCCAUUAUUUUUGAAUCCUAUGGAUUUGGAUAUGAUGUAUUGUGAUUUGUUGUUGUUUAUGCAAUAGUGUAGAGUGGCCUUAUGUUGAAAAAAUAUCAAAUGUGACAAAAAAAAUUGCAUGAGUGUUAUAAUGUUUUGUGAAAAAUUUCAACGACCUUUAAGUUGACUUAUCUGUACCUCACUUGUAGCUACUUUGUAUUAAGCGCAGUGAUAUAAUUUUACGAGAAAAUGCCUCUUCCUGGUUUUCCUUACGCAACUAUUGUGGGUUUCGGAGUUUUAGUGAUAGCAGCGGGCUUACUUAUGUUAUUUGCUAAUCAGCAGCAAGAGCCGGUUGGGUAUGGAAAUACAAGGAGACGUCGUUCUCCAUCACCACCACCUAACAGAGGGGGGUCCUGGGUCCAGCAUCGCCCCCGUGAGACAAGCAACAACCGCAUCGCGGGCGGGGGUGGCAGCAAUGGGACGGAACAGAAGCGCAGAACCAGCGACCCCACGCAGAGGAAGGUGAACGGUGGUUACGAGUGCAUCAUUUGUCUAGACUGUGAAAACCUCUGCCGGUUCGUCAAGCUGUACUGCGGCCAUCAAUUCCACUCAAACUGCUUGACAAAGUGGUUUGAAGCCUCACAGAAAGGCAAGGUAUGUCCAACGUGCAGUGCAGUAGUAACGAGUCGCUAGCGAACCGUGAGUCAUCGCGCAUCAUCGCAGCUAAUGAGGGACAAUUCCAGCUGCCACCCAUGAACAUUAAAUGCUUUUAAAUAGAAAUAAAGCACAUGUGCUCAGGCAAUUUUCCCCAAAAAUGUGAUAAGUUUGUAUCAAAUAAUUUUUACCGAUGGCUUGUGUCAUUUAUUGUAUUUUGAUUUUAUGUAAUUUAUUGUGCAUUGAUUUACCAAUACAACUUUAAACUGAACACAAUUUCCAUUUUCUGUUAAAUUGGUAUGUGUGUAUGUGACAAGUGUUGCUAUUUGCUAAACAGAUUGAUUAUAAUGGAAAUGAGCACAACUUAUGUAAAAAAAAAAAAAAAAACCAAUAUCAGGGUAAUUACACAUAGUGUAAAACAAAAUUUUUCCUGACUCAUAUUUCUUCCUACCUUACUGAAGAAAGAAUAAUUUUAUGUAAUUCAGUUCAGUUAAAAAAAUUAAUCUAAAUAGGUACUCUGUAAGUACUCUUGUGUGCCUUGCUUGUUAUAUAUCUAAAAUUAAUAAUGGACCAUUGUACGAGUACCCUGAAAGUAUAAAAAGGCACAGGGAUACACAAUCUGGUUUCGAACCGGCCAGUUUUCUCAGGUGGCAAAGGGCAAUAGCCAGCUGCAGUUAUUUUGGCGUAUGGGUUGUCAGUAAUAAACCUAGUGGCCAAAAGACAUGAAAGCAGAUAUGCCAGUAUUGGCUUUAUGAAACAUCACUGAUAUCAAUGAAAUUGCCAGCGAAAGAAAUUAAUUAUAUGUUGAGGCCUGAUGGCUGUCUGGAUUGGGCAAUAAAGUGAUGGAUUGGUUGCAAGCAUCUUAAUUCUAUUCUCUCAUUUUUCACUUUCAUAUUAAUUGUAGUUUAUGCAGACUAUUUAAACAUUUAGUAUUCAAUGUUUCAUACAACCAACGAGAUUUCGUGAUUGCAUUUCAACACAUAUUUUGACAAAUAUCAAAAAAUUUGUAUUUGUCCUACUGUCCAUUUUUUUUUUUUAAAUAUAAAUUAUUUGCAUCAUGGUCUAGGAUAUCAAUUGUUUUCCCGUUUAGAAAAAGUAACCUAACAUUAAAAAAUGUAUCAUGUUAUUGAACAAAGUUGUGGAAAAUAGAAACUUUAUUCUCAAUAAUAGCUACAUACGUAUUCCAUAAACCUAAAUCAUAAAAUAAUAGAAGCACCAUUUUUACAUUUCUAUUUCUACUUAGAAAAGUUUUGUAAUAAUUGUCAGUAGGGUAAAAUUAUAAGGAAAAAAUCAUCUUUAUAAUUUUUUGCCUUGAGCCAGCAUUAAUCAACAUGAAUUUUUUUCCCCAUUAUCCUGAAUACAUCAUAAAAAUUUGGUUCUUCUACACAGUACAAUUAUUAGUUGUUUUUUUUUUAACUGAACUGUUUUAGAAAAUUUCUUAAACAAUCAAAACAAUUCACUGCUUUUGCUAAUUUCUGUUCAAAAUUCUUUGCAUUUCCCUGUUUUUAAAGUGUGUGACUACCUUGAAAUUUUAAGUUUGUAAUUUGCAUAACAGUUUGGCACUAAAAGACUGAUUGCCUGUGCUAGUCAUAUAGCCCAUUGUGUUCAAGUUGAUAUUCAUAAAUUCACUUCUUUCAAUCAUAUUUGUCCUGCACGGGUUAUCAUUGUGCAAGUGUUUCAGCUAGGCGUGGCUGUAGUAAUGCAUUACUCUUGCAGAUAUAGUAGUGGUUAUUUACUUAAUUAUUAUCCUAUGUGGCAAGAAUAGGGUUUCCAGUGGUCUGGGCUUCGUUCAUGGUUUUUAGCGCCUUGUGUGGCAUCAUGUAGUAGGGUGCAUGACAUUUUGAAAAUUUAUUAAAGUUCACAACUAACCAGAGUGGUUUAAAUUUUUCUGUUGCUUAGUAAUUUACUAGUGUGCAGUACUUUGGAAUGAAUGCACUGCCAAAUGUUGAUGGAACACUGGCACUAAUGUUGUGACAAGGUUGGAAUGAGAUUGUUGCACAUAUACCUAAAUAUUGUGCCUUUUAUGUACGUAUUCACUAUUCAAGGACAGAAGUUUGCAAUCAAAAUAGUAUUUACUUUAAAAAGCUGUUAGAGAAAAAAAUAAACUACUCUUCUUCUGUUUGUACUCAAGCUUUUGACAUUUAUUUCCAUGCUUUUUUGCUAGUUUUCAUUGCCAGACCAAUGGUAUACAUAGUUGGUUAGCAUUCUUGACUGCAGAUUGGUAGUUUUGGGUGUGAGUCCCAUCUCUGGCAUUGAUUGGUUAAUAAGAUGCCCUCUCCCAAGUCAUCCAGCAUGAGGCGAUCAUGUUUGUGUAUUCUAACGUAGAUUAAAGUACAGUUUCUACUGACUUAUUACCACUUAAAAUCCUAGGUGGACCUACAGAUGCAGACUUACAAGAAAGGUACCUUUUCGGCUUAAGUGGUACAACUUUAGCCAAACUAUAAGACACGUGUACAAUUUUCAAAAUUUGGCAUAACGAGCUCAUGACAAGAGGUCAGACAAUUUCUUCUAGUAGACAUCUUUAAUCAGUUAACAGAGUCCUCUCUUGUUAUGCCUUUUUUCUCUAUUUCCUUUGCUAUAUGGAUGACCCUUGGUGCUUUCAUGACCCUCUAAAACCUUACUUAUCUUUCCAACAUGAUUCCAAUUUUUAUUCUCAAAUUUUAAAAUAGGGGUUUGAGGUUGGUUAGGUCGCUCAAUGCCAUGACGACUACUCUAUUGCAACUAGAAAUGAUGUACAAAUUUUUAAAUUAAAAUGAUUCUAUAAAUUUAGAGCUGGUUGUUUAGUAAUAUUCUAUAUGUUGAUUGUGUAUAUAAAUUAUUUCAUUGUAUAAUGUACGAAUUAGUUGUCUUUUUUUUUUUAAGUAAAAUGUUACCUAAAAUGGUAGUAAAAUGUAGCAUCUUAUUUUAAACUUACCAAAUUUCACACAAAUCUACUGGCAAGAAAAUUUUACAGCUUAAUACAAAUUUAUUUUUAAAUAAUCCAACAUAAACAAAGAUAAAUUUAAUACUUCAUAAAAAAUUUUGUGAGUUCCUAAAGUACUGAAAUUUCUUACUGUCAUUGAAACAGUUAAUUUAUAGUAAUGGUCUAUUAUUUGCAUAGAUGUCUGUACAUUAGACCUUGACAAUGUUGUCAUUAAUGCUCUCUAGUAACUUUGAAUAUGUUUGUGUUGACAUGCUUGUAAAUAUGGUUUAAGUACAUUUUAUGUUUAAAAAUAAUCAUGCAAAAAUAACUACAUUUGGUUUGACAUUGUGUGAAUUUUUAACAGUGGGACAGACAUAUUAAACUGCUGCAUGUCUUGAAUCACUUAUUACAACUAGUUCCUGCUCGUCAAAUCUUUGCAAUAAUUGAGCACUUAAAAUAGAUUAUUGAAGUGUGUAAAUAUAUGUAAAUAAAUUAGUGUGGAUGUUAAAAGUUUAUGUAAUAUGUAUAUGCUUAAUGUUUGAAAGUAGUUGUUACAACGGUUUAGUAAUCACAUGCUGAUGCUUCCAUAUUUUCAGGUUAUAGUUACAAUAACUAUGGCAUUGGCUACUUACAAAGCUAUAGUUAAGUAAUGUAUGCACCACGUAACAAACAAGUGAGGAAAACAGAGUCAUAAUUCUCUUUCAGUGCUGCUUUGUAAACAGGUCAAGAUACUGAUGGUUGAAUGUAAUGUGUGUUGUUCAUAAACCUCGCACCAAACUUUUGAAAACAAAAUGUUGAGACAAAGUUAAAUUGCUAUUAAAUGUUUAUUCUGAACAUAAUUAGAGAAUGCUAUAAUUAGUUUUUGUUUUCUGUAAUACAAAUAGCAUUCAUUUGUAGCAAUACUGUCGUCUGGUAAUUAUUUUUUCAGCACAAUUUAUUCUUGCUAUGCGGGCACUGUUCAGCUUAUCAAUAUUUCCAUCAACAUACCAACUACCCCUCUCCUAUUUCGCCCACCAUGCCCAACUAUUGCCCUCAUGUGAACUGAAUUUUCGUAACGCUCAAAAAUUGUAGCCCCCUCAGCAAAGAAGUUUCACUUCAAAAUUAUCAUGACUGUAAAAUUGCUACGACCACAGCUUUUUUGUUAAUUGCAGAAAAAGAAAAUUUUAUUUUAACAUCUCAGCCACAGAUGAUGAAAAUUAAUGAUAAGUUUCCAAAAAUUAUAAACAAAACUAGAAUGUAGAAUUAUUGAAGAAACACAUGAAAAGAUGAAAACCUUUAAAUCAAAUCUAUAUUGCAACACCACCAUUACUCAAAAACAAUCAUUUUUUUCCCUAAAGUCGAGUGCAACUUUCCACUACAACGUGUACUUUCUUCCCAUAGCACGAUGCCUUAUUUUCUCAGCUCUUUAAUCAUUCAGAGGUUCUUCAGCAAUCAUAAAAUAUCACAACAGCAAACCUUUAGUAUUCAUUGAAAUGUCUUUCUCACAUAAACACACUCACUAACCAUAUUCAACAUUGUCAGUCAUCCAAAAAGCUGCAGCAUGUUAACUAACCUAGGAGCUCGAUUGACAUUUAGUCAUGCAGUUUUUUAAGUUUUUUCAACACAUAUUUUUUUGUAAAAUUGUACGCAGCUUAUUUGUGAAGUAGGUACAGUAUUACUUUUACAAGAUGUAAACCAACCUGAUGUGGUCAAUAACUAAGCACGAUGGUAUACAAUUUUAGUAAUGUGCAGUUGACACCAGCACCCAUUAACAAUUUGUUUGUGCUUCUAGUCGAUCAGUGUCAGCUGAGGUUAUCACUAGCUGACAGCAUCAAAAUAUAGGGGGGGUAUAGUUUUACUUCCAAUAAUUGUAAUAGCAAUAAUUUAUAAAACAUUUUUUUCUACUGUUUCCUGUUAUUGUUCCAAGAUCUCAAUGACCUUUUUUGCAUUUCGUAACACCAAUGAUUGGCAUAGUGUUUAAUGUUGCUGUCAGCCCCGCAUGAUGUAAAUAUUUAAAAGCUCAGAUUGUUAAAUGUCUGUAUAAUUUAUUAAUUUUUCUGCUGGUCUAUGUUACUGUACAGUGAAAAAAAAAGUAUAUAAUUGGGGUUUUGAUUGUUGGUUCCUUACUUUUGUAUAGAAUUUGUAGAUUUUCAAAUAAACGUAUAAAAUUGA
Bacillus rossius redtenbacheri is the source of this 5857-nucleotide long non-coding RNA. RefSeq lists it as uncharacterized. The transcript has 4 exons. NCBI's taxonomy places the organism in Eukaryota, Metazoa, Arthropoda, Insecta, Phasmatodea, Bacillidae. The record is from RefSeq and is a predicted model, not a curated record.